GGGGGUGUAGCUCAGUGGUAGAGCGUUCGCUUCGCAUGUGAAAGGUCCCGGGUUCGAACCCCGGCACCUCCA
Molecule: transfer RNA, 72 nt
Filed under: Stegodyphus mimosarum
Lineage: Eukaryota; Metazoa; Arthropoda; Arachnida; Araneae; Eresidae
Also listed under: 1 other name
Description: tRNA-Ala for anticodon CGC
Rfam family: tRNA
About the family: Transfer RNA (tRNA) molecules are approximately 80 nucleotides in length. Their secondary structure includes four short double-helical elements and three loops (D, anti-codon, and T loops). Further hydrogen bonds mediate the characteristic L-shaped molecular structure. tRNAs have two regions of fundamental functional importance: the anti-codon, which is responsible for specific mRNA codon recognition, and the 3' end, to which the tRNAs corresponding amino acid is attached (by aminoacyl-tRNA synthetases). tRNAs cope with the degeneracy of the genetic code in two manners: having more than one tRNA (with a specific anti-codon) for a particular amino acid; and 'wobble' base-pairing, i.e. permitting non-standard base-pairing at the 3rd anti-codon position.
Source: Rfam by way of RNAcentral